UACAUUUCUUCUUCUUCGUGGUGCCAUAUCAGAUUUCUGACGUCGGCGACACCUGGCGUAGGUUUGUAAUCCGCCAAGGUGUAUACUAGGGAAAGUUACUACCCAGAGUGGUUUCCCGUUGCCUUCUCUGGGGCGCGAUGUUACGCGAGGGGAACUAAUGCCUUCCGGGAGGACU
This is a long non-coding RNA of Centruroides sculpturatus (bark scorpion), 175 nucleotides long. RefSeq lists it as uncharacterized. NCBI's taxonomy places the organism in Eukaryota, Metazoa, Arthropoda, Arachnida, Scorpiones, Buthidae. The record is from RefSeq and is a predicted model, not a curated record. The transcript has 2 exons.